CGGUCAAGCGAAGAAGGGCGCAGGGCGAAUGCCUUGGCACUGGGAGCCGAAGAAAGACGUGAUAAGCUGCGAUAAGCCGCGGGGAGCUGCAAAUAAGCUUUGAUCCGCGGAUCUCUGAAUGGGGAAACCCACACGGAGUCAUAUCCGUGUAUCCUAUACUGAAUCAAAUAGGUAUAGGAAGGGAACUGCCUGAACUGAAACAUCUAAGUAGGGCAAGGAAGA
This 222-nucleotide ribosomal RNA is filed under the name Anaerofilum sp. An201. RNAcentral's name for it is "partial 23S ribosomal RNA". It matches the Rfam family "Bacterial large subunit ribosomal RNA", at positions 1 to 220 of the family's 2925-position model. The record is from RNAcentral. Lineage: Bacteria; Bacillati; Bacillota; Clostridia; Eubacteriales; Oscillospiraceae.